AAAUUGCUGUGGUAUUUUGACUAUACAAAGGUAUUGAAAUAAGAUUUUAAUUGAAUGCUAAGAGAAUGGAAUUUCAGAAAAAAACUUUUUUCAAGUUAAAAAUUGAAAUUUUUUUAAUUUGUGCAGAAACAAUUAUUAAUAUUAAGGACAAGAAGACCCUAUGAAUUUAUAAAUUUUAUUUAAUAUGUAACUACUAUUGAAAAAAUUUUAGCUGGGGCGGCGGAAAAAUAUUUAAAACUUUUUUAAAAUAAAAUGACCCAUUAUUAAUGAUUAUAUGUUAAAUACUCUAGGGAUAACAGCGUUAUAUUUUUUGAUAGAUCAUAUUGACAAAAAAGUUUGCGACCUCGAUGUUGGAUUAGGAUACUUUUUUAAUGCAGAUAUUAAAAAAAAAAGUUUGUUCAAC
Molecule: ribosomal RNA, 403 nt
Filed under: Rhipicephalus sanguineus (brown dog tick)
Lineage: Eukaryota; Metazoa; Arthropoda; Arachnida; Ixodida; Ixodidae
Description: partial 16S ribosomal RNA
Source: RNAcentral